RNAcentral lists this ribosomal RNA (432 nucleotides) under uncultured bacterium. RNAcentral describes it as "partial 16S ribosomal RNA". It matches the Rfam family "Bacterial small subunit ribosomal RNA", at positions 29 to 506 of the family's 1533-position model. The record is from RNAcentral.
AACGAACGCUGGCGGCAUGCCUAACACAUGCAAGUCGAACGAGACCUUCGGGUCUAGUGGCGCACGGGUGCGUAACGCGUGGGAACCUGCCCUUAGGUUCGGAAUAACUCCCCGAAAGGGGUGCUAAUACCGGAUAAUGUCUUCGGACCAAAGAUUUAUCGCCUUUGGAUGGGCCCGCGUUGGAUUAGCUUGUUGGUAGGGUAAAAGCCUACCAAGGCGACGAUCCAUAGCUGGUCUGAGAGGAUGAUCAGCCACACUGGGACUGAGACACGGCCCAGACUCCUACGGGAGGGAGCAGUGGGGAAUAAUGGACAAUGGGCGAAAGCCUGAUCCAGCAAUGCCGCGUGAGUGAUGAAGGCCUUAGGGUUGUAAAGCUCUUUUACCCGGGAUGAUAAUGACAGUACCGGGAGAAUAGGCUCCGGCUAACUCCGU